Molecule: ribosomal RNA, 506 nt
Filed under: uncultured bacterium
Lineage: Bacteria
Description: partial 16S ribosomal RNA
Rfam family: Bacterial small subunit ribosomal RNA
Source: RNAcentral
GACGAACGCUGGCGGCGUGCUUAACACAUGCAAGUCGAACGAGAAAGCCCUUCGGGGUAAGUACAGUGGCGAACGGGUGAGUAACACGUGGGCAACCUGCCCCAGAGAGCGGGACAACCCGGGGAAACCCGGGCUAAUACCGCAUGAUGCGUCUCCACUUAAGUGGAGCCGCCAAAUGGUAGCUUCGGCCUCCGCUCUGGGAUGGGCCCGCGCCGGAUUAGCUAGUUGGUUGGGGUAACGGCCCACCAAGGCGACGAUCCGUAGCUGGUCUGAGAGGACGAUCAGCCACACUGGGACUGAGACACGGCCCAGACUCCUACGGGGGGCAGCAGUGGGGAAUCUUGCGCAAUGGGCGAAAGCCUGACGCAGAACGCCGCGUGGGGGAAGAAGGCCUUCGGGUUGUAAACCUCUUUCAGUAGGGACGAAGCUUCCGGGGUUAAUAGCCUACGGGGUGACGGUACCUACAGAAGAAGCCCCGGCUAACUACGUGCCAGCCGCCGCAGUAA